CGGGGUGUAGUUCAGUUGGUAGAACAGCGGGUUUUGAUCCCGUAGGUCGUAGGUUCGAGUCCUACCGCCCCUG
This 73-nucleotide transfer RNA is filed under the name Ralstonia phage RSP15. It matches the Rfam family "tRNA". From Rfam's summary of the family: Transfer RNA (tRNA) molecules are approximately 80 nucleotides in length. Their secondary structure includes four short double-helical elements and three loops (D, anti-codon, and T loops). The record is from Rfam by way of RNAcentral. Lineage: Duplodnaviria; Heunggongvirae; Uroviricota; Caudoviricetes; Pantevenvirales; Ackermannviridae.